UCCCCCUUUCCCUUUUUUCAAAACUGAUCUCAAUUCAAAUUUCUAUUGGAGUUUGCAACAAUAACUACUCAUUUAAAUACAUCAUAAAAUAUUAAAAUGUAACAAAAAGUGCUUGUUAUCACUGAAUGGUAAAGAGUGUUUUAAUUUAUCAGUUGGUAGUAAAAGUGAAUAUACAUUGUGCAUUGUAUAAAACAAUGAUUUAAGUUGAUUCAACUACUAUUCUGGACAAAGAAAGAUAACUCCAAUCAAUUGAAAAUUUCUUGCUAUUGCACAAUAUUGUGCAAUU
This 286-nucleotide long non-coding RNA is filed under the name Mytilus galloprovincialis (Mediterranean mussel). The record is from RNAcentral. Lineage: Eukaryota; Metazoa; Mollusca; Bivalvia; Mytilida; Mytilidae.